CAUGCAGUCGAACGGGAUAGAACUUAGCAAUAGGUUCUUGAGAGUGGCGCACGGGUGCGUAACACGUAUGCAACCUACCUUUAACUGGGGGAUAGCCUCUCGAAAGAGAGAUUAAUACCCCAUAGUAUAAUUAGAGAGCAUUUUCUGAUUAUUAAAGAUUUAUCGGUUAAAGAUGGGCAUGCGGCUGAUUAGGUAGUUGGUGGGGUAAAGGCCCACCAAGCCAACGAUCUGUAGCUGGUCUGAGAGGACGACCAGCCACACUGGGACUGAGACACGGCCCAGACUCCUACGGGAGGCAGCAGUGGGGAAUAUUGGGCAAUGGAGGAAACUCUGACCCAGCGACGCCGCGUGCGGGAUGAAGGCCUUCGGGUUGUAAACCGCUUUCAGUAGGGAAGAAGCGAAAGUGACGGUACCUACAAAAGAAGCACCGGCUAACUAUGUGCCAGCAGCCGCGGUAAUACAUAGGGUGCAAGCGUUGUCCGGAAUUAUUGGGCGUAAAGAGCUCGUAGGUCGUUUGUUACGUCGGAUGUGAAAACCUGAGGCUCAACCUCAGGCCUGCAUUCGAUACGGGGCAAACUAGAGUUUGGUAGGGGAGACUGGAAUUCCUGGUGU
This 612-nucleotide ribosomal RNA is filed under the name uncultured Actinomycetes bacterium. Its description in RNAcentral is "bacterial SSU rRNA". It matches the Rfam family "Bacterial small subunit ribosomal RNA", at positions 54 to 676 of the family's 1533-position model. Lineage: Bacteria; Bacillati; Actinomycetota; Actinomycetes. The record is from RNAcentral.